UGCAGUCGAGCGAAUGGAUUAAGAGCUUGCUCUUAUGAAGUUAGCGGCGGACGGGUGAGUAACACGUGGGUAACCUGCCCAUAAGACUGGGAUAACUCCGGGAAACCGGGGCUAAUACCGGAUAACAUUUUGAACCGCAUGGUUCGAAAUUGAAAGGCGGCUUCGGCUGUCACUUAUGGAUGGACCCGCGUCGCAUUAGCUAGUUGGUGAGGUAACGGCUCACCAAGGCAACGAUGCGUAGCCGACCUGAGAGGGUGAUCGGCCACACUGGGACUGAGACACGGCCCAGACUCCUACGGGAGGCAGCAGUAGGGAAUCUUCCGCAAUGGACGAAAGUCUGACGGAGCAACGCCGCGUGAGUGAUGAAGGCUUUCGGGUCGUAAAACUCUGUUGUUAGGGAAGAACAAGUGCUAGUUGAAUAAGCUGGCACCUUGACGGUACCUAACCAGAAAGCCACGGCUAACUACGUGCCAGCAGCCGCGGUAAUACGUAGGUGGCAAGCGUUAUCCGGAAUUAUUGGGCGUAAAGCGCGCGCAGGUGGUUUCUUAAGUCUGAUGUGAAAGCCCACGGCUCAACCGUGGAGGGUCAUUGGAAACUGGGAGACUUGAGUGCAGAAGAGGACAGUGGAAUUCCAUGUGUAGCGGUGAAAUGCGUAGAGAUAUGGAGGAACACCAGUGGCGAACGCGACUUUCUGGUCUGUAACUGACACUGAGG
Molecule: ribosomal RNA, 714 nt
Filed under: Bacillus sp. CSu2_20
Lineage: Bacteria; Bacillati; Bacillota; Bacilli; Caryophanales; Bacillaceae
Description: bacterial SSU rRNA
Rfam family: Bacterial small subunit ribosomal RNA
Source: RNAcentral